AAGUCGUAACAAGGUUUCCGUAGGUGAACCUGCGGAAGGAUCAUUAACACGUAUCCAACGUUAAACCCCCUGUGAACCUUCAUUGUACGAGUUACAUCCACGUCAUAAACCGGCAAUCUCUGGUAAAUCAUCGCCGAACUUUGAUUCAGAGACCUCUGGGAAGGGUGUACGGUAGCAAUUGACCUGGCAUUUGUACGGAUGGCGCAGUAACGAUCGCUGGAGGCCGACACGGCCGGCGACCAGGUCACUGGGCUACGGCCCCCCUGAUCACAACCUUUGCAUGAAAACGGGCCUGCGCUGAGGUGCGGCCACCCCUAAUGCUUGAACAACUGUUAACAAUGGAUAUCUUGGUUCUC
Molecule: unclassified non-coding RNA, 356 nt
Filed under: fungal sp.
Lineage: Eukaryota; Fungi
Description: partial internal transcribed spacer region
Rfam family: Eukaryotic small subunit ribosomal RNA (bases 1-46)
Source: RNAcentral